Molecule: long non-coding RNA, 14012 nt
Filed under: Nicotiana tabacum (common tobacco)
Lineage: Eukaryota; Viridiplantae; Streptophyta; Magnoliopsida; Solanales; Solanaceae
Description: long non-coding RNA (NTAB_LNC014778)
Source: RNAcentral
UGGAAUCUCAUGAAAUCACAAGCCAUAGAAAACUACAUAGCGUUCUAACUCUAGAAUGUCUAAUCAAAAGUAAAUAUAGGAAGUCUAAAGCUAAAGGGGAGAAUAGAGAGGGACUUCUAGGUCUGCGGACGCGGUAGAUAUACCUCGAAGUCUCUAAUGUCGCCCGCCUCACUGAUAGAACGGCUGAGUAGAAGAACCUGGAUCUGCACACGAAAAAUAUAUGCAGGAAAGGGUAUGAGUACACCAUAGUAGUACUCAGUAAGUGUCAACCCUAACCUCGGUCGGGUAGUAAUGAGGAAGGUUAGGGCCCUACUGGUUAUAUAUAUAUAAAACAAGGUAAAAUAGUAUGAAAUGUGAUAGUAUAAUUUAAAUACUAACAGUCGACAAGGAAUAAAAUCACAGAAAGAAUAUAACCCAGUACACAAAGAUAGAAAUAGGGGAUCUCCCAGGAUAUUGUCCAGUAGUCCCAAACGUAAAUGUGUAGAGGAUCUCCCGGGAUAUCGUCCCGUAGUCUGAAUCAUAAAUGUGCAGGGAAUCUCCCGGAAUACUAAUCUGUAGUCCCAAAGUAAAUAUCUAGUACAGGGGGAUCUCCCGGGAUGUCGUCUCGUAGUCCCAAAUGUAAAUGUGCAGGGGGAUCUCCCGAAAAUACCAAUCCGUAGUCCCAAAGUAAACAUGUAGGGGAAUCUUCCGGGAUAUCGUCCUGUAGUCCCAAAAUCUCACUUGGGGAACUUUUGCCUUCAGUUCCCUUAAUUAGAAGAGGAAAACAAAAAUAGAUUAUAGUAUUAUGAUCAAAAUCAAGUUAGAAUUCAUUACCCAAUGAUUCUCCUUCAAAACCUCUCAAAAUAUUGUUUCCCACCGAGCUCCAAUGCGAUUUGUGUGUUAUGAAAUUUCAAACCUCGAUUUUACUAUAUCUGCCCAGCGAUUACCGCAUAUGCGGUCCAUGGGGCCACACCUACGGUCCCGCACCUGCGUUUUGGGCUCCGCAUCUGCAGAAUUUCAUUAACUCCCUAGGCACCGCACCUGCGCUCCCUUCUCCGCAUCUGCUAUCCUUAAGCCGCAUCUGCGGUCACUGGCCCUUGUGCUCCAGACCGUACCUGCGACCUCGUGUCUCACUUCUUCGGGCCUCACCUGUGGGCUCCCCACCACAGGUGUGAAAAUACCAGAAGCACCCAACUUUAGAAUUUGCCUAAGUAAUUCACUUCCGUUAAGUAUCCGAAAUUCACCCGAGGCCUUAGAGACCUCAACCAAACAUGCCAACCAAUCCUAAAACAUCAUACAAACCUAAUCCAACCCUCGGAUCAUAUCAAACAAAGUUAAAACCACGAUUCACUGUCCAAUCCAAGCCUAAUGAACUUGAAAUCUCAAGAAUUCUACAACCGAUGUCGAAACUAACCAAACCAUGUCUGAAUGACCCAAAUUUUCACACAAAUCACAUUCAACACUAUGGAGUUAUUCCAACUUUCAGAAUCGGAUUCCGACCCCGAUAUCAAAAUUUCACUAUCGAUCCGAAAAUUUCAAAAAUUCAACUUUCGCUAUUUCAAGCCUAAAUAAGCUACGAACCUCCAAAACACAAUCCGAAUUUACCCCUAAGCCCGAAAUCACUCAACGGAGCUAACAGAAUUGACAUAAUUUCAUUAUGAGGCCAUCUUCACAUUGUUCUACCUACGACCCAAAUUCUAAAGCUUAAACUCUCAUUUAGGGAUUAAGUGUCCCAAAACGCUCCAAAAAUCCAAACGAAUCCUCCCAGCAACUCACAAUAGCAUAAAUAAAUACGGGGAAAGUAGUUAAUAGGGGAUCGGGACAUUAAUUUUUAAACGACCGAUCAGGNNNNNNNNNNNNNNNNNNNNNNNNNAAGCAGAAGGAUAUUAAUUUGCGCCAGAGGAGGUGGUUAGAGCUGCUGAAGGACUAUGAUAUCACAAUCUUGUAUCACCCAGGCAAGGCCAAUGUGGUGGCCGAUACUUUGAGUCAUUGGGCAAAGAGCUUGGGGAGUUUGGCUUAUUUACCAGCAUUGGAGAGGCCCAUGGCGAUGGAUGUUCAGGCCUUAGCCAGCCAGUUUGUGAGAUUAGAUCUUUCGGAGCACAGUUGGGUUCUAGCUUGUGUGGUUUCUCGGUCUUCCUUAUUUGAUCGUAUCAGGGAGCGUCAGUAGGAUGACCCUCAUUUUCUUGUCCUCAAGGACAAGGUUCUGCACGGCGAUGCCAAAGAUGUGAAUAUUGGUGAUGACGGGGUAUUAAGGAUGCAUGGUCGGGUCUAUGUACCAAAUGUUGAUGGGUUUCGGGAGUUGAUUCUAGCGGAGGCCCAUAGUUCGCGGUAUUCCAUUCAUCCGGGUGUCGCGAAGAUGUAUCAAGAUUUGAGACAACACUAUUGGUGGAGGCAGAUGAAGAAAGAUAUAGUUGGAUUUGUAGCACGGUGCCUCAAUUGUCAGCAGGUAAAGUAUGAGCACCAGAGACCGGGUGGGUUGCUUCAGCAGAUAUAGAUUCCGGAGUGGAAGUGGGAGAGGAUCACCAUGGACUUUGUAGUUGGACUCCUACGGACUUUGAAGAAGUUCGAUGCCAUUUGGGUGAUUGUGGAUCGGCUGACCAAGUCCGCGCACUUCAUUCCUAUGUGUACUACUUAUUCUUCGGAGUGGUUGGCGGAGAUUUAUAUCCGGGAGAUUGUUCGUUUGCAUGGUAUUCCAGUUUCUAUCAUUUAAAACAGAGGUACUCAGUUUACAUCACGGUUUUGGAGGGCCGUACAAUAUGAGUUGGGCACUCGGGUGGAGUUGAGUACGAUAUUUCACCCUUAGACGAACGGACAGUCCGAGCGCACUAUUCAGAUUCUUACGGAUAUGCUCUGUGCGUGUGUGAUUGAGAUUGGGGGGGUCUUGGGAUCAGUUCUUUCCAUUGCCAGAGUUUGCCUACAAUAAUAACUAUCACUACAGCAUUCUGAUAGCACCGUAUGAGGCUUUAUAUGGUAGGCGGUGUAGAUCCCCGGUGGGUUGGUUUGAGCCGGGUGAGGCUAGAUUAUUGGGCACAGACUUGGUUCAGAAUGCUUUGGAGAAGGUUAAGGUGAUUCAGGAUAGACUUCGUACAUCCCAGUCCAUAUAGAAGAGUUAUGCGGACCGGACAGUUCGUGAUGUUUCCUAUAUGGUUAGAGAGCGGAUUCUGCUUCGGGUUUCGCUUAUGAAUGGCGUUAUGAGAUUUGGAAAGAAGGGGAAGUUGAGUCCGAGGUUUAUUGGUCCUUUUGAGAUAUUGAAACGUGUUGGGAAGGUUUCUUAUGAGCUUGCCUUACCUCCCAGCUUGGCAGGAGUUCACCUGAUAUUUCAUGUUUCGAUGCUCCAAAAGUAUCAUGGCGAUCCGUCACACGUAUUGGAUUUUAGUUCAGUCCAGUUGGACAACGAUCUAUCUUAUGUUGAGAAGCCAGUGGCGAUAUUGGACAUGUAGGUUUGAAAGUUGAAGUCAAAGAAUAUUGCAUCAGUAAAGGUUCAGUGGCGGGGUCAGCCGGUCGAGGAGGCGACCUGGGAGACCAAGCAGGAUAUGCGCAGCCGCUACCCUCAUCCUUUACCUACUUUAGGUAUGUCUCUACGCUCGUUCGAGGACGAAAGAAUGUUUAUGUGUGGGACGAUGUAACGACCCGACCAGUCGUUUUAAGAAUUAACGCCUUGAUCCCCUAUUAAUUGUUUUCCCCUAUUUGUUUCUAUUAUUUUGAUUCACCGGGAUGUUUGGUUUUGAGUUUUGGAGUGUUUUGGGACACUUAGUCCCUAAAUAAGAGCUUAAGAUUUAGAAUUUGGAUCGUAGUCGGAGCAGUGUGAAGACGGACUUGGAAUGGAAUUGCGUCGGUUCCGUUAGCUCCGUUGGGUGAUUUCGGGCUUAGGAGCGUGUUCAGAUUGUGUUUUGGAGGUCCGUAGCUUAUUUAGUCUUGAAAUACCGAAAGUUGAAUUUUUGAAGUUUUUGGGUCGAUAGUGAGAUUUUGAUAUCGGGGUCGGAAGGAAAUUUCGGAAGUUAGAGUAGCACCGUAGUGUUGAAUGUGAUAUGUGUGCAAAAUUUCAGGUCAUUCGGAUGAGGGUUGAUAGACUUUUUGAUCAAAAGCAUAAAUUGAGAGUUUUUGGAGUUCUUAGGCUUGAAUCUAUGGUUAAUUAGAUGUUUUGAUGUGUUUUAGGUGUUUUAGGGAUUGAUAUAAGUUUGGAUAGUGGUAUAUGGUUUGUUCGUGAUUUUGGUUGAGGUCCCGGGGGCCUCGUAAUGAUUCCGGAUGGUUGACGGAAAGUUGAGAGUUAGAGCGUGCAGUUGAAACUGUUGGAUUGCUGCCAUAACCGCACCUGCGGAUUGGGGACCGCAGGUGCAGAGCCGCAAAAGCGGCUGGGAGACCGCAGACGCGUCCGGAUGAGGAAAAACUAGAAGUCGCAGGUGCAGAAGUGUCCACGCACCUGCGUGACCGCAUAUGCGGUGAAGAGGUCGCAGGUGCGAAAAUGGCAAUUUAAUGAAGAGUCGCAGGUGCGACUUGGUCUUCACAGAAGCGGGACCGCAGGUGCGGUUCCAAGACCACAGAUGCGGUUUUGCUGGUUAGAAAAGGGGCAGAAACGAGGGUUUAGUUUCAAAACUUGGAAAAUUGAUUUGGGAACUCGGGAUUGUCGAUUUUGAGAGAGAUUUUCACCUGGGUGUUUUGGGUAAGUAAUUCUUACUCGGGUUUGAUUAAUUUUUAUGAAUCUAUGCUUAAAUUCAUCCUUUAAAUUCGAAUUUGGGGUGGAAAAAUUGGAGAAAAGUUGGAAAAGUUUUUAGACCUAACUUUUGAGUUUGGAUCGAGAUUUUUGAUGUCGGAUUGAAGUAAUUUCUAUAUAUAUGAACUCGUGAGAGUAUGGGGUUUCCGAAUUUGUAAAUUUUACUCGAUUCCGAGACGUGGGCCCAAGGGGCAUUUUGGUCAUUUUUCUUAAUUUAGAGUAUUAGCUUAGAAUUAAUUGUUGGAAUCAGCUACUUGAAGUUAUAUUUAUAUUAUACAAUUGAGUUGAAUACAUUUGGGCCAUUUGGAGUCGAGUACUCGUGGCAAGGGCGUGGUUUCGGGUUGAUUUUAAGCUGGAUCGAGGUAAGUGGCUUGCCUAACCUUGUGUGAGAGAAACUCCCCUUAGGAUUUGGUAUUGUUGACAUUUGAAAUGCCUUGUACGUGAGGUGACAAGUGUGUACUUGUGCUAAUUAUUGAAAAUCCAUUUUCAUUAAGUAAUUAUAACUGUGUUUCCUUUCCUGUUUAUACUACUUGCAAUUUAAGCCUACUAUUAGCUUAGGAAAGCAUGUCUAAUUGACUUAAUUGUUUUACUUGCUCAAACUGUUUUAUUCGAAUUUUGUGCAACAUGAUAGGUUAGAAAUACUUGUCUUACCUUGUUAUGAAAUUGGAUUGCACUGAAUAUUCUUCGUGUUGCUGCUGUGUGUUUACUUUGGGACUACGAGACGAUAUCCCAGUAGAUCCCCUCUGCAUGUUUACUUUGGGAUUGCGGAUUUGUAUUCCUGUAGAUCCCCCUGCACAUUUACAUUGGAACUACGGGACUAUACCCGGUAGAUUCCCUCAGCACUGGAUAUUUACAUUUGGGACUACGGAUCGGAUUUCCGGUAAAUCCCCGCGCAUUAUUAGUUGGACUACGGGACUGCACCCGGGAAAUCCACUGAAUAUUUAUAUUUGGGGACUACAGGACGGUAUCCUGGGAGAUCCCCGGUUGUUAUCUUUGUUUUGAGCUGUAUUCAUUUCCGUGAUUAUUUUGUCUAUGUUAUAGUUGUUGUUGUUUUUUCUAUCCUAUGUUACUUCUCACUAUUGCACUUAAUUAUACUGUCUCAUUCAAUACUGUUAUACCUUGUAUUUCAUUAAUCUCAGUAGGGCCCUGACUUUCCUCGUCACUACCCGACCGAGGUUAGGGUUGUCACUUACUGAGUACCGAUGUGGUAUACUCAUGUCGUUUCUGCGCAUGUUUUCCCAUGUGCAUAUCCAAGUACUUCCACUCAGUCUUAUCAUCCUUGAGGCGAGGCACAUUUGUAGAAACUUCAAGGUAUGUCUGCCGCGUCUGCAGACCGAAAAGUCCCUUUCUAUCUUUUUGUAAUAGUAUAGCCCUUUUAUAUUUUCCUUUGAUAGACAUUUCUGGAGUUAGAGCUUCUUAUGUAUCUCUUAGCUUGUGAUUCAUGGGGUUCCGAAUUUUGGAAUGUUAUGCUGAAAUUCUUGUAUUGUUAUAUGUCAGGUAGCAUCUUAAACACAAUUUUAUUUUGUUAUUUCGGUUUUAUAUUAUUUUCUUUCCGCAAAUUGUUUCUUUUCCGCAUUUGUUAGGCUUACCUAGUCGUAGAGACUAGGUUCCGUCACGAUAGUUCACGAAGGGCGAACUAGUGUCGUGACAAUAGGGAGUUUUUCCAAUUAAAGUGACAAUAAUCAAAACGGGAUUAUUUAUUCCAAAUUCAGAGUCGCCACCUAGGAUAAUUUAUGGUAUCCCGAGUCACCAGUUUAAAAUCCCGAAUCGAGGAAGUUUGACUAUGUUUUACAGCCCGCGAAACAUAGAAAUCCGGGUAAGGAAUUAUGUUAACCUGGGAUAAAGUGUUAGGCAUUCUCGAGUUCCGUGGUUUUAGCACGGUCGCUCAAAUAUUAUUAAUUGGCGUAAUUAUCUAAUUAAUUACACAUUUUAAGCCAACACGCAUUUUUAAACUUUCUAACCGCUUUUAGUGUUUAUGGAGUUUAUCACGAUUGUCACACAAUUGUUGUUUUGGUGCACAUUGCAAACCGCGUCACAUGAAAUGCACCCGCGAUCAAUAGCAUGUUUAUUUUAUUAUUAUUCGAAAUUAUGGUCGGGUCACAUGAAAUGCACACCCGAAUUGAGAUUUACGUAUCGUGACCAUGCCAUGGGAAUCAUACCCAUGGCCACGAUAAUUUAUUAUUGAUCGCGCCUAAAGCAAGCUACAAUGUUUAUGAAUAUUAACGUCCUAAGUAUGCUCCUAGCGUACGAUUAAUGAAAGCAAAAUGAUAGCACAUCACCUUUUAUUUUAAUACCCAACUCCAUUGCCCAAUUUUAAUUAAUAGGUCAAUUUAACUUCAGAGACACCAAAAUGUUAAACAUCACACAUUAAACAUCUAUAUCUUAAUAAAGCAACUAUCCAGGGAAACCAAACUCAUUUACAAAUAGCAAAUAGCAAAAAAAUAAAACUGAUGCAAACAAAAUAUCCCUAAGCCCGAAAUCACUCAACGGAGCUAGCAGAACUUACAGAAUUCCAUUCCAAGGUCAUCUUCACACUGCUCUGACUACGAUCAAAAUUCUAAAGCUUAAGAUCUCAUUUAUGGACUAAGUGUCCCAAAACAGUCCGAAACACAAAACAAAACAUCCCGACGAAUCAAAAUAGCAAAAACAAAUAGGGGGAAAGCAGUUAAUAGGGGAUCGGGGCGUUAAUUCUUAAAACGACCGGUCGGGUCGUUACAUUUAUACCCUUCCGGAUAGAAAAAGAAGGUGUGACAGUGAUGCCUCGAGGAUUGUCCUUGGAGCAGUAUUGAUGCAUGAUGGUAGGGUGAUUGCCUACGCGUCCAGACAAUUGGAGGUACAUGAGAAGAAUUAUCCUNNNNNNNNNNNNNNNNNNNNNNNNNNNNNNNNNNNNNNNNNNNNNNNNNNNNNNNNNNNNNNNNNNNNNNNNNNNNNNNNNNNNNNNNNNNNNNNNNNNNNNNNNNNNNNNNNNNNNNNNNNNNNNNNNNNNNNNNNNNNNNNNNNNNNNNNNNNNNNNNNNNNNNNNNNNNNNNNNNNNNNNNNNNNNNNNNNNNNNNNNNNNNNNNNNNNNNNNNNNNNNNNNNNNNAGUAGAACGAUCUUAGUUUGCGCCAGAGGAGGUGGUUAGAGGUACUGAAGGACUAUGAUAUCACUAUCUUGUAUCACCCAGACAAGGCCAAUGUGGUGGCCGAUGGUUUGAGUCGCAGGGCAGAGAGCUUGGGGAGUUUGGCUUAUUUACCAGCAUUGGAGAGGCCCAUGGUGAUGGAUGUUCAGGCCUUAGCCAGCCAGUUUGUGAGAUUGGAUCUUUCGGAGCCCAGUCGGGUUCUAGCUGGCGUAGUUUCUCGGUCUUCCUUAUUUGAUCGUAUCAGGGAGCGUCAGUAUGAUGAUCCUCAUUUGCUUGUCCUCAAGGACAAGGUUCUGCACGGCGAUGCUAGAGAUGUGACUAUUGGUGAUGACAGGGUAUUAAUGAUGCAUGGUCGGGUCUGUGUACCCAAGGUUGAUGGGCUUCGGGAGUUGAUUCUAGCAGAGGCCCAUAGUUUGCGAUAUUCCAUUCAUCCGGGUGCCGCGAAGAUGUAUCAAGAUUUGAGACAGCACUAUUGGUGGAGGCGGAUGAAGAAAGAUAUAGUUGGAUUUGUAGCUCGGUGCCUCAAUUGUCAGCAGGUAAAAUAUGAGCACCAGAGAUCAGGUGGGUUGCUUCAGCAGAUAUAGAUUCCGGAGUGGAAGUGGGAGAGGAUCACCAUGGACUUCGUAGUUGGACUCCCACAGACUUUGAAGAAGUUCGAUGCCAUUUGGGUGAUUGUGAAUCGGCUGACCAAGUUCGCGCACUUCAUUCUUAUGUGUACUACUUAUUCUUCGGAGCGGUUGGCGGAGAUUUAUAUCCGGGAGAUUGUUCGUUUGCAUGAUACAGUUUCCAUCAUUUCAAACAGAGGUGCUCAGUUCACAUCACAGUUCUGGAGAGCCGUACAAUAUGAGUUGGGCACUCGGGUGGAGUUGAGUACGACAUUUCACCCUUAGACGGACGGACAGUCCGAGCGCACUAUUCAGAUUCUUGCGGAUAUGCUUCGUGCGUGUGUGAUUGAGUUUGAGGGUCUUGGGAUCAGUUCUUGCUAUUGACAGAGUUUGCCUACAACAACAACUAUCAGUACAACAUUUAGAUAGCACCGUAUGAGGCUUUAUAUGGUUGGCGGUGUAGAUCCCCGGUGGGUUNNNNNNNNNNNNNNNNNNNNNNNNNUAGACCCCGUACAUCCCAGUCCAUACAGAAGAGUUAUGCAGACCGGACAGUUCGUGAUGUUUCCUAUAUGGUUGGAGAGCGGGUUCUGCUUCGGGUUUCGCCUAUGAAGGGAGUUAUGAGAUUUGGGAAGAAAAGAAAGUUGAGUCCGAGGUUUAUUGGUUCUUUUGAGAUAUUGAGACGUGUUGGGAAGGAUGCUUAUGAGCUUGCCUUACCUCCCAGCUUGGCAGGAGUUCAUCCGGUAUUUCAUGUUUCGAUGCUCCGAAAGUAUCAAGGCGAUCCGUCACACAUAUUGGAUUUCAGUUCAGUCCAGUUGGACAAGGAUCUAUCUUGUGUUGAGGAGCCAGUGGCAAUAUUGUACAUGCAGGUUUGAAAGCUAAAGUCAAAGAAUAUUGCAUCAGUAAAGGUUAAGUGGCGGGGUCAGCUGGUCGAGGAGGCGACCUGGGAGAUCGAGCAGGAUAUGUGCAGCCGCUACCCUCAUCCUUUACCUACUUUAGGUAUGUCUUUAUACUCGUUCGAGGACGAAUGAAUGUUUAAGUGUAGGACGAUGUAACGACCCGACCGGUCGUUUUAAGAAUUAACGCCCCGAUCCCCUAUUAAUUGCUUUCCCCUGUUUGUUUCUGCUAUUUUGAUUCGCCGGGAUGUUUGGUUUUGAGUUUUGGAGUAUUUUGGGACAUUUAGUCCCUAAAUGAGAGCUUAAGAUUUAGAAUUUGGAUCAUAGUCGGAGCAGUGUGAAGACGAAAUUGGAAUGGAAUUGCGUCGGUUCCGUUAGCUCCGUUGGAUGAUUUCGGGCUUAGGAGCGUAUUCAGAUUGUGUUUUGGAGGUCCGUAGCUUAUUUAGGCUUGAAAUACCGAAAGUUGAAUUUUUGAAGUUUCUAGGUCGAUAGUGAGAUUUUGAUAUCAAGGUCGGAAUGGAAUUUCGGAAGUUGGAGUAGCACCGUAGUGUUGAAUGUGACGUGUGUGCAAAAUUUUAGGUCAUUCGGACGAGGGUUGGUAGACUUUUUGAUCGAAAGCGUAAAUUGAGAGUUUUUGGAGUUCUUAGGCUUGAAUCUAUGGUUAAUUAGAUGUUUUGAUGUGUUUUAGGUGUUUUAAGGAUUGGUAUAAGUUUGGAUAGUGGUAUAUGAUUUGUUCGUGCUUUUGGUUGAGGUCACGGGGGCCUCGGGAUGAUUCCGGAUGGUUGACGGGAAGUUGAGAAUUAGAGUGUGCAGCUGAAACUGUUGGAUUGCUGUCAUAACCGCACCUGCGGAUUGGGGACCGCAGGUGCGGAGCCGCAAAAGCGGCUGGGAGACCGCAGAUGCUGCCGGAUGAGGAAAAACUAAAAACCGCAGGUGCAGAAGUGUCCACGCACCUGAAUGACCGCAGAUGCGGUGAAGAGGUCGCAUAUGCGACAAUGGGAAUUUAAUGAAAAGUCGCAGGUGCGACUUGGUCUUCGCAGAAGUGGGACCGCAGGUGCGGUCCCAAGGCCGCAGAUGUGGUUUUACUGGUUAGAAAAGUGGCAGAAACGAGGGUUUAGUUUCUAAACUUGGAAAAUUGAUUUGGGAGCUCGGGAUUGGCGAUUUUGAGAGAGAUUUCACCUGGGUGUUUUGGGUAAGUAAUUCUUACUCGGUUUUGAUUAAUUUUCAUGAAUCUAUGCUUAAAUUCAUCCUUUAAAUUCGAAUUUGGGGUGGAAAAAUUGGAGAAAAAGUUGGAAAAGUUCCUAGACCUAACUUUUGAGUUGGGAUCGAGAUUUUUGAUGUCAGAUUGGAGUAAUUUCUAUAUAUAUGAACUCGUGAGAGUAUGAGGUUUCCGAAUUUGUAAAUUUUACUCAAUUCCGAGACGUGGGCCUAAGGGGCAUUUUGGUCGUUUUUCUUAAUUUAGAGUAUUAGCUUAGAAUUAAUUAUUGGGAUCAGCUACUUGAAGUUAUAUUUAUAUUAUGCAAUUGAGUUGAAUAGAUUUGGGCCAUUUGGAGUCGAGUACUCGUGGCAAAGGCGUGGUUUCGGGUUGUUUUUGUGCCGGUUCGAGGUAAGUGGCUUGCCUAACCUUGUGUGAGAGAACCCCUUAGGAUUUGGUAUUGUUUACAUUUGAAAUGCCUUGUACGUGAGGUGACGAGUGUGUACUUGUGCUAAUUGUUGAAAAUCCAUUUUCAUUAAGUAACUAUAUCUGUGUUUCCUUUCUUGUUUAUACUACUUCCAAUUUAAGCCUACUAUUAGCUUAGAGAAGCAUGUCUAAUUGACUUAAUUGUUUUACUUGCUCAAACUGCUUUAUUCGAAUUUUGUGCAGCAUGCUAGGUUAGAAAUACUUGUCUUACCUUGUUAUGAAAUUGGAUUGCAUUGAAUAUUCUUCGUGUUGCUGCUGUGCGUUUACUUUGGGACUACGAGACGAUAUCCCGGUAGAUCCCCCCCUGCAUUUUUACUUUGAGACUGCGGACACUUUAUUCUGAUAGAUCCCCCUGCACAUUUACAUUGGAACUAUGGGACUACACACGGUAGAUUCCCCCAGUACUGGAUAUUUACAUUUGGGACUACGGAUCUGAUUUUCGGUGGAUCCCCGCGCAUUAUCAGUUGGACUACGGGACUGCACCCGGGAGAUCCACUAAAUAUUUAUAGUUGGGGACUACAGGACGGUAUCCUGGGAGAUCUCCGGUUGUUAUCUCUGUGUUGAGCUGUAUUCCUUUCCGUGAUUAUUUUGUCUCUGUUAUAGUUGUUGUUGUUCUUUCUAUCCUGUGUUACUUCUCACUGUUGCACUUAAUUAUACUGUCUUAUUCUAUACUAUUAUACCUUGUAUUUCAUUAAUCUCAGUAGGGCCCUGACUUUCCUCGUCACUACCCGACCGAGGUUAGAGUUGACACUUACUGAGUACCGCUGUGGUGUACUCAUGCCCUUUUUGCGCAUGUUUUCCCAUGUGCAGAUCAAGUACUUCCACUCAGUCUUAUCAUCCUUGAGGGGGCACAAUUGUAGAGACUUUAAGGUAUAUCUGUCGCAUCCGCAGACCGAGAAGUCCAUUUCUAUCUUUCUGUAAUAGUAUAGCCCUUCUGUAUUUUCCUUUGAUAGACAUUUAUGGAGUUAGAGCUUCUUAUGUAUUUCUUAGCUUGUGAUUCAUGGGGUUCCGGAUUUUGGGAAUGUUAGGCUGAAAUUCUUGUAUUGUUAUAUGCCAGGUGGCAUCUUAAACACUAUUUUAUUUUGUUAUUUAGGUUGUAUAUUAUUUUCUUUCCGCAAAUUAUUUCUUUUCCGCAUUUGUUAGGCUUACCUAGUCGUAGAGACUAGGUUCCGUCAUGAUAGUUCACGAAGGGCGAACUGAUGUCGUGACAAUAGGGGAAUUUUUCCAAUUAAAGUGACAAUAAUCGAAAUGAGAUUAUUUAUUUCAAAUUCAGAGUCGCCACCUGGGAUAAUUUAUGGUGUCCCGAGUCACCGGUUUAAAAUCCCGAAUCGAGGAAGUUUAACUCUGUUUUAUAGCCCGCGAAAUACAAAAAUCCGGGUAAGGAAUUAUGUUAACCUGGGAGAAGGUAUUAGGCAUUCCCGGGUUCCGUGGUUUUAGCACGGUCGCUCAACUAUUAUUAAUUGGCCUAAUUAUCUAAUUAAUUACACAUUUUAAACCAACGCGCAUUUUUAAACUUUCUAACCGCUUUUAGUGUUUAUGGAAUUAAUCACGAUUGUCGCACAAUUGUUGUUUUUGUGCACAUUGCAAACCGCAUCACAUGAAAUGCACCCGCGAUCUACAACAUGUUUAUUUUAUUAUUAUUCAAAAUUAUGGUCGGGUCACAUAAAAUGCACACCCGAAUUGAGAUUUAUGUAUCGUGAUCAUGCCAAGGGAAUCGUACCCAUGGCCACGAUAAUUUAUUAUUGAUCGCGCCUAUAGCAUGCUACGAUGUUUAUGAAUAUUAACGUCCUAAGUAUGCUCGUAGCGUACGAUUAAUGAAAGCGAAAUGAUAGCACAUCACCUUUUAUUUUAAUACCCAACUCCAAUGCCCAAUUUUAAUUAAUAGGUCAAUUUAACUUCGGAGACACCAAAAUGUUAAACAUCACGCAUUAAACAUCUAUAUCUUAAUAAAUCAACUAUCUAGAGAAACCAAACUCAUUUACAAAUAGCAAAUAGCAAAAAAAUAAAACUGAUGCAAACAAAUUACUAAUAAGCCACAAUCCAAAACAGAGGAAGAAAGCAUUAACCCAUAUGAUCGACAAAAAUAGAGCACAAAGAUUAAUAACACAAUAUAAGCAUGGUAUCAAGCAGAAACAAUAGAAGAAAUUAAGAAACAAACCUCAAACCGAUGAACUCUGGACGCAACUCGAAUCGGCACCGGAAAUUCAAAACCAAAUACGACCCUAAACAAACUCCAUAAUUUGAAAACGAAGUCCGGAAUUUAAAGAGAAGAAAUAGAACAUUUUUCUUUGAAUUCAAUCAUGAACUAACUCACAAAAAAAACAGAAACAUUUUCUUGUAUUGAUUCUAUCCAAAGCUCCUCCCCCAAUUUCUAUGACAAUUCUGUCCGUGUUCUCUACUACCCGUCCCCCCAUUUGGACACAAAUAUCUUCUACACAGUCAACCGCAACAAAUACGCUAUCAGUAGUGCAAAGGGAAGCAGUCAUGGUGUUGAUGGCGGAUAACUGGUGGUCGCUUGUGGUGGAGCUACGGUGGUGGUGGCUGGUUAUUUAGGUUGGGGUGAAGGAGAAGAAGAGGGGUCAGCAUAGCGGUGGGUUUGGGUGUGGAUGUGACAGCAGAGGAGUCGCCGGGUUUGGGUAGUUGCUUGGCACUGUGUGGAGACUGGGAUGGUGGUCUGAAGGUGACGACGGGGUGGUCGCUGGUCGACGUCCAGUGAGGCGGGGGUGGUUUUUUUCUGAAGAUGGCGGCGGCGGCUGGAGAGGGGGGGGGGGGGGGUUCUCUACGAUGAAAAAACGGUUGUUGUCUAGAGAAGAAGAUAGGUUUAGAGUUGUUUUAAUUAUCUAGGUCUUGAAAAUGUGUGUUAGGGUGUAUACGAAGAAGUGGAAGUGAGUCUUAGGGUUUGGGCUUAGGAAAUUGAGUUGGACCAUGUCUUUUGGAUUUAAAUUUAGGCUAAGAAGACCAAAUAGUACAAUGUAUCUAUAAAGUGUAAAAAUCACUCUUAAUUAAAAUAAACUAAUAUAAAAC